GCCCAUUUUUCAAUCUUGUAGAUUUAGUUUUGGUAAGACAACAUGGACAACCAUAUCUAGUUUUCACGCCAUAUCCUGAUAAGUUACCUAACGCUGGAAAAUCACUAAUUGUCCAAAGCAAUGCUGCACGCAUUUGAAACAUGUGAUUGUUUGAUGCGUCAUAAGUGGCAACACCAACCCACAAUUCUUUUAACUCAUCAACUAAGGGUUGUAGAUAGACAUCAAUAUCAUUACCUGGUGCACGAGGACCAUCAAUAAUAGUUAGUAAUAUCAUAUAUGGCUGUUUCAUGC
This 291-nucleotide long non-coding RNA is filed under the name Solanum tuberosum (potato). Its description in RNAcentral is "long non-coding RNA (STUB_LNC008992)". Lineage: Eukaryota; Viridiplantae; Streptophyta; Magnoliopsida; Solanales; Solanaceae. The record is from RNAcentral.